This 233-nucleotide unclassified non-coding RNA is filed under the name plant metagenome. RNAcentral's name for it is "partial contains small subunit ribosomal RNA, internal transcribed spacer 1, and 5.8S ribosomal RNA". The record is from RNAcentral.
UUUCCGUAGGUGAACCUGCGGAAGGAUCAUUAUUGGAUUUUGAAACUUCAGGCUGCUGCUGGCUCUCCUCGGAGGGCAUGUGCACGCUUGUUGUCCAUUAUUUCUCCCACUGUGCACAAAUUGUAGACCUUUCAGUAGGCCUAUGUUGUUUUUCACUAUCUCUGAAUGUAAUAGAAUGGUUUUGAAUCUUGGGAAAUACAAUACAACUUUCAGCAACGGAUCUCUUGGCUCUC